CGCGAUUCGCCCUUCGGGGUGCACCAGGCGCGAAAACUUUGCAAUGCGGGAAACCGUGACAAGGGAACUCUGAGUGCCCGUUAAAUCGGGCUGUCCAUCGGUUUAAAUAACCGGUGAAGAAAGGGCCGGGCAAGACCGGUGCCAGCCGCCGCGGUAAUACCGGCGGCUCGAGUGGUGGCCACUAUUACUGGGCUUAAAGCGUUCGUAGCUGGUUUGUUAAGUCUCUGGGGAAAUCUUCCGGCUUAACCGGAAGGCGUCUCAGGGAUACUGGCAGACUAGGGACCGGGAGAGGUGAGAGGUACUCCAGGGGUAGGAGUGAAAUCCUGUAAUCCUUGGGGGACCACCUGUGGCGAAGGCGUCUCACCAGAACGGCUCCGACAGUGAGGGACGAAAGCUGGGGGAGCAAACCGGAUUAGAUACCCGGGUAGUCCCAGCUGUAAACGAUGCGCGUUAGGUGUAUCGGUGACCACGAGUCACCGAGGUGCCGAAGAGAAAUCGUGAAACGUGCCGCCUGGGAAGUACGGUCGCAAGGCUGAAACUUAAAGGAAUUGGCGGGGGAGCAC
RNAcentral lists this ribosomal RNA (563 nucleotides) under uncultured archaeon. RNAcentral's name for it is "bacterial SSU rRNA". It matches the Rfam family "Archaeal small subunit ribosomal RNA", at positions 312 to 879 of the family's 1478-position model. The record is from RNAcentral.